AUAGACACACGUAUAAAGAGAAAUAGAGAGAUAAUAAUGUUUGUUUUUCCAAAAUGUCCAAGAACUUGAAGGGGAAUUAUUUUUAUUCAAACAUCUCCUUUCCUUUUUUAUUUGUCUACUUUCAUUUUUUAUUUUAAAUACCGCGACUAAUCACAUAAAAUUUGUGUUUGUUCUUUUUAUAUUUAUAUUAUUUUUAUUUUUAUUUUUUGUACAAUUUAUUACUAGUAUAGUAAUCGAUUCCCUAAAUCUAUGAACCCCUCCAACUAAAUCCAAUAAUUUUUUAUUUUAUUAUUAAUCAAGAAUUUCGUAUAUAGCUAGAACGGCCCUCACAAAUUGCAAA
This 340-nucleotide long non-coding RNA is filed under the name Glycine max (soybean). RNAcentral's name for it is "long non-coding RNA (GMAX_LNC000619)". Lineage: Eukaryota; Viridiplantae; Streptophyta; Magnoliopsida; Fabales; Fabaceae. The record is from RNAcentral.